Molecule: ribosomal RNA, 452 nt
Filed under: uncultured Pseudomonas sp.
Lineage: Bacteria; Pseudomonadati; Pseudomonadota; Gammaproteobacteria; Pseudomonadales; Pseudomonadaceae
Description: bacterial SSU rRNA
Rfam family: Bacterial small subunit ribosomal RNA
Source: RNAcentral
CGGUGGAGCAUGUGGUUUAAUUCGAAGCAACGCGAAGAACCUUACCAGGCCUUGACAUGCAGAGAACUUUCCAGAGAUGGAUUGGUGCCUUCGGGAACUCUGACACAGGUGCUGCGUGGCUGUCGUCAGCUCGUGUCGUGAGAUGUUGGGUUAAGUCCGUAACGAGCGCAACCCUUGUCCUUAGUUACCAGCACGUUAUGGUGGGCACUCUAAGGAGACUGCCGGUGACAAACCGGAGGAAGGUGGGGAUGACGUCAAGUCAUCAUGGCCCUUACGGCCUGGGCUACACACGUGCUACAAUGGUCGGUACAAAGGGUUGCCAAGCCGCGAGGUGGAGCUAAUCCCAUAAAACCGAUCGUAGUCCGGAUCGCAGUCUGCAACUCGACUGCGUGAAGUCGGAAUCGCUAGUAAUCGUGAAUCAGAAUGUCACGGUGAAUACGUUCCCGGGCCUU